CCUACGGGAGGCAGCAGUGGGGAAUAUUGCACAAUGGGGGAAACCCUGAUGCAGCGACGCCGCGUGAGUGAAGAAGUAAUUCGUUAUGUAAAGCUCUAUCAGCAGGGAAGAAAAUGACGGUACCUGAGUAAGAAGCCCCGGCUAACUACGUGCCAGCAGCCGCGGUAAUACGUAGGGGGCAAGCGUUAUCCGGAUUUACUGGGUGUAAAGGGAGCGUAGACGGCAGUGCAAGUCUGGAGUGAAAGGCGGGGGCUCAACCCCCGGACUGCUCUGGAAACUGUACGGCUGGAGUGAAGGAGAGGUAAGUGGAAUUCCUGGUGUAGCAGUGAAAUGCGUAGAUAUUGGGAGGAACACUAGUGGCGAAGGCGGCUUACUGGACUGUAACUGACGUUGAGGCUCGAAGGCGUGGGGAGCGAACAGGAUUAGAUACCCGGGUAGUC
This 440-nucleotide ribosomal RNA is filed under the name uncultured bacterium. RNAcentral describes it as "partial 16S ribosomal RNA". It matches the Rfam family "Bacterial small subunit ribosomal RNA", at positions 338 to 795 of the family's 1533-position model. The record is from RNAcentral.